RNAcentral lists this transfer RNA (67 nucleotides) under Marmota monax (woodchuck). Its description in RNAcentral is "tRNA.Ala". The record is from RNAcentral. Lineage: Eukaryota; Metazoa; Chordata; Mammalia; Rodentia; Sciuridae.
GCAGAUAGCUCAAUGGCAAAGCACUUGCGUAGCAUGCAUGAGGACCUGGGUUCAAUCCCCAUUAGCA